Molecule: long non-coding RNA, 237 nt
Filed under: Capsicum annuum
Lineage: Eukaryota; Viridiplantae; Streptophyta; Magnoliopsida; Solanales; Solanaceae
Description: long non-coding RNA (CANN_LNC017345)
Source: RNAcentral
CGGGCCAGCUGGUUAAACUUAAAGUAUACUCCUGAACAUUCAUCUUACCCUGCUUAAGGUUCAUGAACUCCUCUGCUUUAGCUUCCCUCAGCUCCAGAGGAAAGAAUCGGUUAAGAAAAGCUUCCACAAACUUAUCCCAAAAUUGUGAGCUCAACACUGUCACCCUUCGCAUCUUCCCACUCGUUGUACCAUUGGUUCGCUACAUCCUUUAGCUAGUAUGCUUCUAGAUCAACACCC